RNAcentral lists this ribosomal RNA (492 nucleotides) under uncultured bacterium. Its description in RNAcentral is "partial 16S ribosomal RNA". It matches the Rfam family "Bacterial small subunit ribosomal RNA", at positions 29 to 507 of the family's 1533-position model. The record is from RNAcentral.
AGUGAACGCUGGCGGUAGGCCUAAUACAUGCCAGUCGAACGGCAGCACAGUAAGAGCUUGCUCUUACGGGUGGCGAGUGGCGGACGGGUGAGGAAUGCAUCGGCAUCUACUUUUUCGGGGGGGAUAACGGAGGGAAACUUACGCUAAUACCGCAUACGACCUACCGGAGAAAGCAGUGGAUCUUCGCACCUUGCGCGAUUCAAUGAGCCGAUGUCGGAUUAGCUAGGUGGCGUGGUAAAGGCCCACCAAGGCGACGAUCCGUAGCGGGUCUGAGAGGAUGAUCAGCCACACUGGAACUGAGACACGGUCCAGACUCCUACGGGAGGCAGCAGUGGGGAAUCUUGGACAAUGGGCGCAAGCCUGAUCCAGCCAUACCGCGUGGGUGAAGAAGGCCUUCGGGUUGUAAAGCCCUUUUAUUGGGAAAGAAAAGCAGCAGGUUAAUACCCCGCUGUUCUGACGGUACCCAAACAAUAAGCACCGGCUAACUUCGUG